GACAGGGUUUCACUAAACUGUUCUUCAAAUCUGUGGGCCUUGCUGAAACUCCCACAGUUGAUUAUUGUGUAUUGCAUAUCUAUUCCUACCAUUGAGGGAUAUUAUAUAUCCCCCAAGAUAUUUGGUCCUUAGUAAAGUGCCUGAUGUGGUGGAGACUAUCUAAAUGGCGUGUUGACUAUGUUUCAAAAAUAUACUGUUGAUAAUGUGUUGCAGGUGGGUCUGUGGGUAAGGAAACAAGUUUGUGAAAUAACUUAAAUAUUAUAGACGUAAUAAAGAUUAAGGGUUAAACUUAGACACUGGUAUUAGUGUCCAGAUUGUAGAGAUUUGUUGGUCAUUAGGGCUUGAUGACAACUCAGGAUACUGGCAGGUUUACUUUGCACUUUAUACCAGGUAGUCUUUUUUUUUUUUUUUUUUGGUUGGGGGAGUUUUGGGGGUGGAACCCAGGGGUGCUUAAUCACUGAGCCACAUCCCCAGCCCUUUUUGUUUUUGAGACAGGUUCUUGCUAAGUUGCUUAGGGCCCUGCUAAGUUGCUGAGGCUGGCUUUGAACUUGUGAUCCUUCUUGUUCAGCCUACUGAGCCUUUGGGAUUACUGGCAUGUGCCACCAUGCCCAACCCAGGUAAUCAUUUCUAAAGUGAAAAGCAAAUCAUCUCAUUUGUUUACAACUCAUAUUGUCAGCUUGAGUUGAAGACCCUACAAGAAUUACUGCUAAACAAAUGCUGUACCACUGAACAACAUGCCUACCCCUUUUUAAGUUUGUCUUGAGAUAAGACCCAAGCUGGCCUCAAAUGUGUAAUCCUCUUGCCUCAUCCUCAUAAGCACCUAGGAUUAUGUUCCUUGCUCCUAUAGCCCAAAUUGGUUUAUUUAUUUACAGCACUGGGGUGAACCCAGGGCAGUACACUAUCACUGAGCUACAUCCCCAGUUUCUACAGCUUAAAUUUCUUAAUCUCAAAUCCAGUGGCUUCAUCUUUCUUCCCUUUUUCUAUAGUCCUGUGGUUCAUAUUCAGUCUGGUGGUUCUGAAUUUAUCAAAAUCAUGGAUUACCUUGGAUUAUGUGGGUGUGUAUAUCCAGUCCCAAGAUAAGUUUUCAUAGGUCUGUGUGUAUUUGGGAUUGCAAAUAAUUAAAUUUGAUGAUUUCUCAACUGUGAUCCCAGAUUUGCCAGAAAUACUAAUUCUGGACCCCAAAACAGACAUCAUUAAUCUAUCCAGCCCCUCAGGAUUCUGAGGUAUGCCUUAAGUUUGACAACCACUGUUUUAGAUCUUAUAUACAGAUUCUGGUUCAUUUGUUCCUACUGAGGUAUGUUAGCAAUGUAGUAGUAUACUAAGUAGUAUACAAAUGACUAUGUGACAAAGGAAAUUUCUUUUUGGGGGUAGGGAGGGUUACUGGGGAUUUAACCAAGGGGCAGUUUACCACUGAGCUACAUCCACAGCCCUUUUUAUUUUUAUAUAUGAGAUGGGGUCUCACUUGCUUAGAGCAUGGGUAUGAUGCCAAGGCUGGCCUUGAACUUGAGAUCCUCCUGUUUCAGCCUCCUUAGCCACUGAGAUUACAGGUGUGUGCCAUCUUAUCCACCUGGAAGGAAAUAUUUAAUCUCCAAUGUCUGAUAAUGGUAACAGCUAGCACAUUGAGGAUGUGAAAAGUUGAUGUGACUGAGAAGCUUUAAUUUUACUAAAUUUAAAUCCCCCAUAUGGGAUUGUAAAGAUUUAGAUGACUCCAUUCUUAGCUUCCUAGGAUGAUAAGGGGAAAUCUUUCAAAGGAUGAUUAAAAAUUAACUGUUUAACCUUGUUAAAUAUGAGAGCUUAAGAUGAUAUGUGCCUGUAGUCCCAGCUACUCAGGAGAAUUACAAGGGGCACGGUGGGGGGAUAGCGAAAAUAAAAGAAUAGGUGAUUUCCUGAAGAAAUAGUGGUGGGGGCUGGGGAUGUGGUUCAAGCAUUAACGUGCUCGCCUGGCAUGUGCGGGGCGCUGGGUUCACCCUCAGCACCACAUAAAAUAAAGAUGUUGUGUCCACCGAAAACUGAAAAAUAAAUAUUAAAAAAUUCUCUCCUCAAAAAAAAAAAAAAAAGAAAUAGUGGUGGUUAAACAUGAAAAUAUUCCAUCUGGGGCUGGGAUAUGGCUAAGACACUGGGUGUUCUUAGCAUUGCCAAAUGGUGUGUGUGUGUGUGUGUAAACUAUUCCACAUUAGUAAUUAGGGAAAUGCAAAUUAAGGUCAAUUUUAUUGCCACAUUUAAAAAGAAAGUUUCAGCAAGAAUGCUGGAGACUGGUAAAUUAGCAAGAUGAUUUUAGAAGAUGAUCAGAAUGUGGUUUAAAUGGAUAUAUUUAAGCCAACAUUGUAUUUCUAGGAAUCUGUAUUAAAGUAGUAUAAAAAGUGAUGUCACAUUCAAGCUUUUUUUUCAUUAAGUGUUGCAUGUACUCACCAUUUGUGACAACCCAAAUGAUCAUUCAUUAAUUUAAAAUGUUAUUACAUGUACUUUUAUUGCAUAAUGUGUCCCACAGUCAAUAAAAGACACUUCCAUACUAACAAAAUUCUCCAAAAUACAAACAUGAGAAAUCUCAUAGAAAGUAAGUGGGAUGAGCCACCUGUGGUGGUACAUGCCUUAAUCCCAUCAAUUUGGGAAGUUGAGGCAGGAGGAUUGCAAGUUUGAGGCCAGCCUCAAAAAUAUGAAAAGGGCUGGGAAAAUGCCCAGUGGUUAAGUGCCCCUGGGUUAGGGCAGGGGGUGUAUAUAAAACUUUUUUUUUGUUUGUUUUUUUGUGUGCUUCUGGGUGUUGAGCCAUCAUCUCCUACAUGCUGGGAAAGUGCUCUGCCACUGAACUGUAUGUAUCUCCAUACCCCAAACCAUGUAAAAUAAUUUUUUGUUUGGUGGUUAUUUAGGGGGAGAGGAAUGAGAUUUGGAGUUAGUGUGACUUAUCCUGUGCACCUAAAAUGUAUUUGUGUAUUCUUGUGUAGUAGUAAACACACCCCAAAAUUGUGGUUCAAGAAGGGAAUAAUUGGGCUUCUGAGGUACAACAUUUCUGGAUAAAGUUGGGGAAUGGCUGUGGGAGUAGGCUGCUUAAGUGAAAUGUGAGUGUGAAAAACUAAUUGGAAUAAAAGAUUAAGGGUCUCUAAAGCUAGAAUACUGAAUGGAUUACAGUAAUCCCCAACAUGAGGUAAUUUGUAAGCCUACCACUAUGUCACAUCAUUCACACCACUCCAUAUCAUCUUGCAUCAUAAGAAGGAUAAGUAGAGUACAGUAGGAUUUUUGUUGUUGUUGUUGUUUAAUGUUUGUUUUUGUUUUUGUUUUUUUUUUGAUUCUGAGUUUUGAACUCAGGGCCAUUGUGCUUGCAAGGCAAGCACUCUGCCAACUGAGCUAUAUCCCCAGCCCAAGUACAAUAGGAUAUUUUGAGACCACAUUCAUGUAACUUAUAAUAGUAUAUUAUGAUUGUCCUAGUUUAUUAGUUUGUAAUCUCAGUGCCUGAUUUAUAAAUUAAGCUUUAUCAUAGGUAAUGUAUGUAUAGGAAAAACAGUCUAUAUAAGAUCUGGUAGUAUCCAAGGCUUAGGUAUCUACUGGGGUCAGGGGCGGGUCUUUGAACAUAUUCUCUAUGGAUGUAGGGGGACUAUUACAUUUUUAUGGAAUUUUAAUUCACUGAGGUCAAUUAUCAGAAAAUGUCAAGUAUUACCAGAGUACUGAAAUAAUAUGGGGAUAUGACAACUGUGGAUUAUCAGUAGUACAGGGAAUUUGUGGAAAAUAUAGCCAUAAUGUAAAUUUUUUAAGGUUUCCAGUUAUUAUCUACAGGGCACAAUUAUUUUGUAAUUAACUUGCGUGUGUGUGAUGCUGGAGCUUGAACCAAGGGCUUUGAAAAUGCUAGGAAAGCGCUUUACCAUUGAGCCAUAUCCCUAGCCCCUGUAAUUAAUAUCUGAUAAGAACAAAUGCCUGUAUUCCCAGUGGCUCAGGAGGCAGAGGCAGGAGGAUCUUGAGUUCAAAGCCAGCCUCCACAAUUUAGCAAGGUGUUAAGCAACUCGGUGAUACCCUGUCUCUAAUAAAAGAAAAAUAGGGCUGGGGAUGUGGCUCAGUGAUGGAGUUCAAUCCCUGGUAAGCGCACCCCUCCCUUGGAAAAAAAAAAGAAAGAAAAGAAAACACCAGAUUUCAUGCCUAUUUUCCCAAGAAAAAUAAUUUGUAUUUUAUAUAAAAUAUCACUUGGAUAAUCUGGGUCUCAGUCAGGAAGUACAAAGUUGGACCAAAACAGGUAAACUGUAACGUAGAUGAUAUAAUUUGUUCAGAAAAUCUGUUACGGGCAAUAUCAAAUUUAUUCUUUAUUUUAGUCUAUAUAUUUAAUAGAUUAUCUGAUUUCAAAAAAGGGAGAGGGGCCAUUGAAAGUAAACUACAGCAAAAGAGUUAAUAGUUCUCAAGUUUGAGUAUAAUGGUCUCUAUGGAGAAAUAUCUCUUCCACCCACCUCAGAAACAUUGAAAGCAUAUGACCUUGCAGUGUGACACAAAAUUUGUUUAAUGAAUAACUUGACUGCCCAAGAAAAAGUUAAAUUACUUGAUAAUCUGCUAAGAGGACAAAGAAUGUGUGAUAAAUUUCCAAAAUUUAUGAGUUCAGUUACCUAGAAAUUUAUGUGAAAUCUCUUGGAAAACUGGAUUAGUUCAAAUGUCAGUGUAAAUGUAUUUGAUGGCUAUUAAAACUUAAUUUGGCCAAAACCAAAACUGGUUGUACAAUUUUUUUUUUAAAAAAGUGAGAUUGUGUCUUGCUGCUUGCUGUAAAGAGAGAAGUAAGAAACUUCUUGGCUCUGAUACAGAAGUAUCUUUUACAUGAGAAAUAGUUGAGGCCAUAGGUAGUAAAUAAGUGGAUCACACAUUACCAUUCUG
Molecule: long non-coding RNA, 4839 nt
Filed under: Marmota monax (woodchuck)
Lineage: Eukaryota; Metazoa; Chordata; Mammalia; Rodentia; Sciuridae
Source: RNAcentral